This 157-nucleotide microRNA precursor is filed under the name Pelobates cultripes (western spadefoot toad). The record is from RNAcentral. Lineage: Eukaryota; Metazoa; Chordata; Amphibia; Anura; Pelobatidae.
GCAGACACAUUCCAGCCAAUCAGCAGCAGACCCUCCCUCCCAGAUCCUCCCACCUCCUGGACAGCUCACUAAGAAUGCAGCUUCAAAAUGGAUGCUGUCCAGGAGUUGGGAGGGUCUGGGAGGGAGGGUCUUCUGCUGAUUAGCUGGAAUGUGUCUG